This 507-nucleotide ribosomal RNA is filed under the name uncultured fungus. Its description in RNAcentral is "SSU rRNA". It matches the Rfam family "Eukaryotic small subunit ribosomal RNA", at positions 289 to 799 of the family's 1831-position model. The record is from RNAcentral. Lineage: Eukaryota; Fungi.
GAUGCAUCAUUCAAAUAUCUGCCCUAUCAACUUUCGAUGGUAGGAUAGAGGCCUACAUGGUUUCAACGGGUAACGGGGAAUAAGGGUUCGAUUCCGGAGAGGGAGCCUGAGAAACGGUACCACAUCCAAGGAAGGCAGCAGGCGCGCAAUUACCCAAUCCCGACACGGGGAGGUAGUGACACAUAAAUAACAAUAUAGGGCUCUUUUGGGUCUUCAUAAUUGGGAAUGAGUCACAAUUUACAUCUCUUAACGAGGAACACUUGGAGGGCAAGUCUGGUGCCAGCAGCCGCGGUAAUUCCAGCUCCAAUAGCGUAUAUUAAAGUUGUUGCAGUUAAAAAGCUCGUAGUUGAACUUCAGAUCUGGUUGAGUGGUCCGCCUAACGGUGUGUUAACUGCUUGACUGGGUCUUGUCUCUUGGUGAACCGUUGUGUUCUUUAUUGGAUGCUUCGGGGAACCAGGACUUUUACCUUGAGAAAAUUAGAGUGUUCAAAGCAGGCCUAUGCCCGAA